This 2417-nucleotide unclassified non-coding RNA is filed under the name Haliotis rufescens (red abalone). RNAcentral's name for it is "uncharacterized LOC124132943, transcript variant X2". The record is from RNAcentral. Lineage: Eukaryota; Metazoa; Mollusca; Gastropoda; Lepetellida; Haliotidae.
CCAGCUCCGCGAGAAGGUGGGUUUUGUUGUGCAGUCAGUGCUGUGUGUGCAGUAUGCUGUUUACUGUAAUUUCCUUUGCCCUGGUAACAUCAACCCUUGGGUUUACACCUCCUGCCAGUCGCUGCGCAUGCGCAUCAGUGGACACUGCGAUCGAGAGGAACUUCACGGAAACUGGCGAUAACAGUUACGGGACAUUGAGUUCCCCGAGGUGCCUUCCGUACCGCGGUGUUCAGCAGGCUCUCAAUGACGGCCGGAUAUAUGCCCACGUGUCCUAUCAAGGGAUGAGUGCCUGGCUAUUGACAUUUGAUAUCUACAUAAAGAAGUGUAACGAGCCUUUUGAGUGCGUAUGCGCGAAUGCCAAAAUCGACAUAAGAACUACAUACGGAAGCCGAGGUGCGCCAGUAAAGACCUUGACCUCUGGUCAAUGUGUGACCUUGCAGGGGAAGUCGUUCAACUCCAGCGGCAGGAUCUGGGUACAGGUCAAGGUCAACAACAAGACGGGAUGGCUGAAGACGGGUAACCUAUCCUUCCAUAAGAACUGCAGAGGACACAUGACGGAUGGUAUCUCAAAUACACGCAUGACUGGGUGUCCUAAAACUGUGCCACGUGCAGCCUGGAACGGCGGAGCGCCACAUCCACCAAGUGCCGGUCCGAACAAACCUCCCCACGACCCCUCCAGUCAGCACGGACCAAAGGCGGGCGACUGUGAUAAAUGCAUGGGUAGAAGACAUCGUUACCAGGACGACCACAAGGGUGGAGACGAAUCAAUGGACAGUUCUUGCCUGAAAGCUGACGUCACUGAGUCACACGGAGAGAGUCGUGUCCCAUUGGUCGCUCUUCAGGAAGGUGCAAUGCAUGAUGGUAGUGACGGAAUACUUACACCAGCCCAGCGUGGGAGUCAGAUUGAUUUGGUCCAAGAUAAUUUUCUACAUUUAACAGAGGAGGGCAGGUCAGGCGUGUUCGUGCCCAGGUCCCCCACCAUCUUGGCACGUGCUGUGUGGGGGGCACGGCCGGCUGGCCCUGGAGUAGACAGACUGAAGGAGACUCCCCAGUACGUCAUCAUUCACCAUGGAGCCUCGGCAGGAUGCAGCUACAGCCAGGACUGCGUGAGACUGAUGCAGUGCUACCAGAACUUCCAUGUGGACGGACGUGGCUGGUCCGACAUCGGCUACAACUUCGCUAUCGGCGAUGACGGCAACGUGUACGAGGGGCGAGGCUGGGGCGCCGUGGGGGCACACACGUAUGGCUAUAACAGAAUAUCUGUUGGAAUCGCUUUCAUUGGCAAGUUCAAUGACCGGGAGCCAAGCCAAGCCGCCCUUGACGCACUCAUGACACUGCUUACUUACGGCGUCCGCUACGGCGAACUGUCGCCGUCGUACACGUUGCUAGGACGUCGUGACGUAGGUUAUCCGACAGAAUCCCCCGGAGACAGACUGUAUAAGAUCAUCCGUGGCUGGAAGCACUACAACAACACCGUCAUCUACGUCUGAAUGACGCCGGGUUGCCGUUGGUCUGGUCGUCUAAGGCGCGUUUCUCUUCUAUGUAUCAACGGAUCCUGCCUCGGCUAAAGGAUGCAACUCUUGGCUUACACAGACGCACCAGUGGCUCUUGUUUGCCCUGAAUCCACACCACAGACCUCACAACGCUCUGGUAUAAAGAUGGCAUUAUUUGUCUGCAGCCAGGAACGAGAGCCUGGGUCGAGCAGCGGUGGCUAGCCUGGAACAGACUGGCCUGAAACCACAGUUCUUCCAACUGGACAUCACUGACCAAAUCAUCCUUGGAUGCUCUCUUGCCAGACAGGUAUGAUGGAUUGAAUGUCCUUGCCAACAAGGUAGGUAUCAUGUUUAGGGUAUGAUUUCAAUAAUACAUCACACUCGUAAAACUGAGGGAUAUCCUGGCACUCUCAGACGUGCCAGAAAUAUUUCCAUUCGGAAUAGUCCGAACAACUUCGUUUUUGAGCUACGACAUGAGACAUGCUAGUCUAAAUGCUUCUCUAAUUCGUACCGAGAAUUUAGAAGCAUCGACGCUGAAUGGCUGGUUUGAAAAUCCUGGGAUGUGUCCUCGGGUCUUCAUGUAGAGAUAUAGAAAUCGGUGUAAAAGAUCUGGUGUAAAUGAAAUUAUUUUAGGUUGUUAUAGGAAGGAGGGGUAUUCCAUUUUGAUUUUAUACAGUUUCAUGCAAAAUAUAAAUAGAAACAUAAUUUCGAAUUUGAUAAUAUUGUAUUUUUUCUUCAUUAAUUUGCCAUGAUCAUCGCGAUAAUCCGUAAUUCUACCUUAAGUGACAAGAACUAUUAAUUGAAAACAGUUGCCGACACACUGCAAACCUAAAGUUCCAAACCCAACUAUGAUACCCGUAUUACAUACGUAGCGGCCAUAACAUUUCCGAGUCCCGUGAUGGGAUUCGAACCACGGACCUUCUG